GAUGAACGCUGGCGGCGUGCCUAAUACAUGCAAGUCGAGCGAACAGACGAGGAGCUUGCUCCUCUGACGUUAGCGGCGGACGGGUGAGUAACACGUGGAUAACCUACCUAUAAGACUGGGAUAACUUCGGGAAACCGGAGCUAAUACCGGAUAAUAUAUUGAACCGCAUGGUUCAAUAGUGAAAGACGGUUUUGCUGUCACUUAUAGAUGGAUCCGCGCCGCAUUAGCUAGUUGGUAAGGUAACGGCUUACCAAGGCAACGAUGCGUAGCCGACCUGAGAGGGGGGUCGGCCACAGUGGAAAGGAGAGCGGGUCAAGCCCCCGAGGGGAGGCAGCAGUAGGGAAUCUCCCGCAAUGGGCGAAAGCUGGAAGGAGCAACGCCGGGUGAGGGAUGAAGGUCUUCGGAUCGUAAAACUUUGUUAUGAGGGAAGAACAAAUGUGUAAGUAACUAGGCACGUCUGGACGGUACCUAAUAAGAAAGCCACGGCUAACUACGGG
RNAcentral lists this ribosomal RNA (497 nucleotides) under uncultured bacterium. RNAcentral's name for it is "partial 16S ribosomal RNA". It matches the Rfam family "Bacterial small subunit ribosomal RNA", at positions 28 to 507 of the family's 1533-position model. The record is from RNAcentral.